UACGUAGGGUGCGAGCGUUAAUCGGAAUUACUGGGCGUAAAGGGCGCGUAGGCGGCCCGGUAAGUAGGGGGUGAAAUCCUGCGGCUUAACCGCAGGGCUGCCUUCUAAACUGUCGGGCUCGAGCACGGUAGAGGCAGAUGGAAUUCCCGGUGUAGCGGUGGAAUGCGUAGAGAUCGGGAAGAACAUCAGUGGCGAAGGCGGUCUGCUGGGCCGUUGCUGACGCUGAGGCGCGACAGCGUGGGGAGCAAACAGG
RNAcentral lists this ribosomal RNA (253 nucleotides) under uncultured bacterium. RNAcentral's name for it is "partial 16S ribosomal RNA". It matches the Rfam family "Bacterial small subunit ribosomal RNA", at positions 524 to 776 of the family's 1533-position model. The record is from RNAcentral.